Molecule: ribosomal RNA, 1002 nt
Filed under: Finegoldia magna
Lineage: Bacteria; Bacillati; Bacillota; Tissierellia; Tissierellales; Peptoniphilaceae
Also listed under: 2 other names
Description: bacterial SSU rRNA
Rfam family: Bacterial small subunit ribosomal RNA
Source: RNAcentral
UUAUAUGAGAGUUUGAUCCUGGCUCAGGAUGAACGCUGGCGGCGUGCCUAAUACAUGCAAGUCGAACGAGUUCUGAUUAUUGAAAGGUGCUUGCAUCUUGAUUUAAUUUUGAACGAGUGGCGGACGGGUGAGUAACACGUGGGUAACCUGCCCUUAAGUGGGGGAUAACAUUUGGAAACAGAUGCUAAUACCGCAUAAAUCCAAGAACCGCAUGGUUCUUGGCUGAAAGAUGGCGUAAGCUAUCGCUUUUGGAUGGACCCGCGGCGUAUUAGCUAGUUGGUGAGGUAACGGCUCACCAAGGCAAUGAUACGUAGCCGAACUGAGAGGUUGAUCGGCCACAUUGGGACUGAGACACGGCCCAAACUCCUACGGGAGGCAGCAGUAGGGAAUCUUCCACAAUGGACGCAAGUCUGAUGGAGCAACGCCGCGUGAGUGAAGAAGGCUUUCGGGUCGUAAAACUCUGUUGUUGGAGAAGAAUGGUCGGCAGAGUAACUGUUGUCGGCGUGACGGUAUCCAACCAGAAAGCCACGGCUAACUACGUGCCAGCAGCCGCGGUAAUACGUAGGUGGCAAGCGUUAUCCGGAUUUAUUGGGCGUAAAGCGAGCGCAGGCGGUUUUUUAAGUCUGAUGUGAAAGCCCUCGGCUUAACCGAGGAAGUGCAUCGGAAACUGGGAAACUUGAGUGCAGAAGAGGACAGUGGAACUCCAUGUGUAGCGGUGAAAUGCGUAGAUAUAUGGAAGAACACCAGUGGCGAAGGCGGCUGUCUGGUCUGUAACUGACGCUGAGGCUCGAAAGCAUGGGUAGCGAACAGGAUUAGAUACCCUGGUAGUCCAUGCCGUAAACGAUGAAUGCUAGGUGUUGGAGGGUUUCCGCCCUUCAGUGCCGCAGCUAACGCAUUAAGCAUUCCGCCUGGGGAGUACGACCGCAAGGUUGAAACUCAAAGGAAUUGACGGGGGCCCGCACAAGCGGUGGAGCAUGUGGUUUAAUUCGAAGCAACGCGAAG